GCGAACGUAGUUCAGUGGUAGAACAUCACCUUGCCAAGGUGGGGGUCGCGGGUUCGAAUCCCACAUCCUCC
This 71-nucleotide transfer RNA is filed under the name Streptococcus pyogenes. RNAcentral's name for it is "tRNA-Gly(gcc)". The stretch from base 8 to 64 matches the Rfam family "tRNA", at positions 8 to 63 of the family's 71-position model. Rfam says of the family: Transfer RNA (tRNA) molecules are approximately 80 nucleotides in length. Their secondary structure includes four short double-helical elements and three loops (D, anti-codon, and T loops). The record is from RNAcentral. Lineage: Bacteria; Bacillati; Bacillota; Bacilli; Lactobacillales; Streptococcaceae.